Non-coding RNA from Monodelphis domestica (gray short-tailed opossum), 641 nucleotides. The record is from RefSeq and is a predicted model, not a curated record. Lineage: Eukaryota; Metazoa; Chordata; Mammalia; Didelphimorphia; Didelphidae.
GCCACCUAGUAUUUAAAGAGACAUUUCUAACACUGGGAUUUUAAGCAUAAUUUAAAUUAAAAGCUCCUCUUCUCUCCCUUCCUAUUAGAUACAGUUUAGUUUCUCUUUUUUAAUGAGACUUAAGCCAAGUUUUCCAUCUUUGUUUGUCUUCAAUACUCAAACUAAUAUUUAGCAUGAAUUUUCUUCUUCCUUCCUUUAGGAGAUGAUCUAACUUGCCAUAAUUAAAAAUACAUCAGAGAUGUCCUGUGGUACCAGAAUCCUACUCUAGAAUAGUAGAAAGGGUAUUGGAUCCAAGAUCUGGGUUGAAAUCCCAACUUUGACACUUGUUAUGGGUAUGAUCAACUGUAAAUCUCUCAACUUCUCCAGAUUACCUUUUCCUGGCAAUAAUAUACAGCUCCUUACUGUCUCCAGCAUUCUAGAAAGACCUCUAUGUUAGAAGCCAAGCUAGUCAACAGGGCCCCACAAUUGGAAAAGAGAAAAUUCCCAUGAAUUCCUCCUACGUCAGCAAACACGCUGAACAUGUAUGCGAGUAGUUAUCUUUUCUUAUUUUAAAGGGGCAUGGGGAGCUAUUCCAAUCUGAUUAACCUUUCUAGAGUUAAAUGGUCUAAUUUAUUGACAGUAAAGCCCAAUUCACAGUUGCA